RNAcentral lists this transfer RNA (69 nucleotides) under Ictidomys tridecemlineatus (thirteen-lined ground squirrel). RNAcentral describes it as "Spermophilus tridecemlineatus (thirteen-lined ground squirrel) tRNA". It matches the Rfam family "tRNA". From Rfam's summary of the family: Transfer RNA (tRNA) molecules are approximately 80 nucleotides in length. Their secondary structure includes four short double-helical elements and three loops (D, anti-codon, and T loops). Further hydrogen bonds mediate the characteristic L-shaped molecular structure. tRNAs have two regions of fundamental functional importance: the anti-codon, which is responsible for specific mRNA codon recognition, and the 3' end, to which the tRNAs corresponding amino acid is attached (by aminoacyl-tRNA synthetases). tRNAs cope with the degeneracy of the genetic code in two manners: having more than one tRNA (with a specific anti-codon) for a particular amino acid; and 'wobble' base-pairing, i.e. permitting non-standard base-pairing at the 3rd anti-codon position. The record is from Rfam by way of RNAcentral. Lineage: Eukaryota; Metazoa; Chordata; Mammalia; Rodentia; Sciuridae.
GGGGCUGUGGCUCAGUGGUAGAGCGCUCACCUAGCAUAUGUGACAAGCUGGGUUCAAUCCUCAGCACCA